CGUAGGGUGCGAGCGUUAAUCAGAAUUACUGGGCGUAAAGCGUGCGCAGGCGGUUUUGUAAGCCAGAUGUGAAAUCCCCGGGCUUAACCUGGGAAUGGCAUUUGGGACUGCAAGGCUGGAGUAUGGCAGAGGGGACUAGAAUUCCUGGUGUAGCAGUGAAAUGCGUAGAUAUCAGGAGGAAUACCGAUGGCGAAGGCAGGUCCCUGGGCCAAUACUGACGCUCAUGCACGAAAGCGUGGGGAGCAAACAGGAUUAGAUACCCUGGUAGUCCACGCCCUAAACGAUGUCAACUGGUUGUUGGGGGAUUUAUUCUCUUAGUAACGAAGCUAACGCGUGAAGUUGACCGCCUGAGGAGUACGGUCGCAAGAUUA
This 371-nucleotide ribosomal RNA is filed under the name uncultured organism. Its description in RNAcentral is "bacterial SSU rRNA". It matches the Rfam family "Bacterial small subunit ribosomal RNA", at positions 526 to 896 of the family's 1533-position model. The record is from RNAcentral.